Molecule: small RNA, 335 nt
Filed under: Vigna angularis var. angularis
Lineage: Eukaryota; Viridiplantae; Streptophyta; Magnoliopsida; Fabales; Fabaceae
Description: Non-protein coding transcript
Source: RNAcentral
UUGAGAAAUAGAGAAGAAAGAGUUAGGGAGAAAUUUUUAGUUGCAAGAAGAGUAGAGGUUCUGAAGGGUUUCGGGGGAAACAAAUUCGGAGCAGGAGAUUAAGUCUGGAAUAGAGAUGAAGGAAUGUCGUCUGAUCCAAUGCCAAUGAAGAGAGAGACAGAAGAAUAAGUUAGAAGAAUUCGAAUUAUAUUUAUGAGUUUAUAGUUGAAAUAUGAAUUUAAAACAUGUGUAGACAUAUAUUAACUAUGAAUUUAUAAGUGUGAGAUUUCGGGAUAUUACCGUAAAUGUAAUAUUACAAUAUAUGAAUUAUGAAUUAUCCAGCGUGAGAUAUUGGG